RNAcentral lists this non-coding RNA (160 nucleotides) under uncultured Alistipes sp. Lineage: Bacteria; Pseudomonadati; Bacteroidota; Bacteroidia; Bacteroidales; Rikenellaceae. The record is from RNAcentral.
GUUACGAAAGGUGAAAAGGGAAUCCAGUGAGAAUCUGGGACAAUACCAGUUGCUGUAAAUCCCACUCCGUCAGGAGUUUGUUUAUCGCACUCUUUGCCACUGAUUGAAAUCGGGAAGGCGUGAUAAAAGGGAUAAGUCAGAAGACCUGCCUUGUGUUUUA